UCAACAAAAACUAGGAGCCUAUUGGGAAAGGAUUGAAACAUACUUCAAUGAAAACAAGCAAGGUGAGAAUAUAUUCCGUUCCAAAGUAUUGCUGCAGCAUCGUGGGAUAGGUUACAAAGAGAAGUGAAUACAUUUUGUGGACAUUUUGCAAAGAUUGAAGCAAGACAACAGAGUGAUUAUGUAGGCUCAACAAAUGUUCAAGAGUUUGGAGGGUCAUUCAUUCCGAUUCUCACACUGUUGGCAUACAUUGAAAACAAAGAAUGCAAGUCGACAAUCAUCUUCCCCAACAACGCCUGAUUCAAUCGAUCUAGAAGAAGAUGAAAGUGUACCCAACACUUUCGAAGGAUUAGAGCGACCACUCGAUAGAAAAGCAUCGAAAGAAUGCCUUCGCAAAGGCAAGUCACAAGCUAUUGGUGGUGCUAGCCCUGCUUCAGCAAUGAUGAUACUCAUCGUUGAUGGCAUCCUCCUCUUCAAGUAACAUAUUAACCAAACGAUUAUGGCGAACCAUAUGGAAAGUUUAUGUUUGCAAGAAAAAUAGAGUGAAAAUGAGGCUACAAUUGAAAGUGAGUCAA
This is a long non-coding RNA of Tripterygium wilfordii, 572 nucleotides long. RefSeq lists it as uncharacterized. The transcript is spliced from 2 exons. The record is from RefSeq and is a predicted model, not a curated record. Lineage: Eukaryota; Viridiplantae; Streptophyta; Magnoliopsida; Celastrales; Celastraceae.